AUUGAACGCUAGCGGCAUGCCUUACACAUGCAAGUCGAACGGUAACAGGUCUUCGGAUGCUGACGAGUGGCGAACGGGUGAGUAAUACAUCGGAACGUGCCUAGUAGUGGGGGAUAACUACUCGAAAGAGUGGCUAAUACCGCAUGAGAUCUACGGAUGAAAGCAGGGGAUCGCAAGACCUUGUGCUACCAGAGCGGCCGAUGGCAGAUUAGGUAGUUGGUGGGAUAAAAGCUUACCAAGCCGACGAUCUGUAGCUGGUCUGAGAGGACGAUCAGCCACACUGGGACUGAGAAACGGCCCAGACUCCUACGGGAGGCAGCAGUGGGGAAUUUUGGACAAUGGGCGAAAGCCUGAUCCAGCAAUGCCGCGUGCAGGAUGAAGGCCUUCGGGUUGUAAACUGCUUUUGUACGGAACGAAAAGCCCCGGGUUAAUACCCUGGGGUCAUGACGGUACCGUAAGAAUAAGCACCGGCUAACUACGUGCCAGCAGCCGCCGUAA
RNAcentral lists this ribosomal RNA (498 nucleotides) under uncultured bacterium. RNAcentral describes it as "partial 16S ribosomal RNA". It matches the Rfam family "Bacterial small subunit ribosomal RNA", at positions 30 to 523 of the family's 1533-position model. The record is from RNAcentral.